GUGGGGAAUAUUGGACAAUGGGCGAAAGCCUGAUCCAGCCAUGCCGCGUGAGUGAUGAAGGCCUUAGGGUUGUAAAGCUCUUUCAGUAGGGAAGAUAAUGACGGUACCUACAGAAGAAGCCCCGGCUAACUUCGUGCCAGCAGCCGCGGUAAUACGAAGGGGGCUAGCGUUGUUCGGAUUUACUGGGCGUAAAGCGCACGUAGGCGGAUCGUUAAGUCGGGGGUGAAAUCCUGGAGCUCAACUCCAGAACUGCCUUCGAUACUGGCGAUCUUGAGUCCGGAAGCGGUGAGUGGAACUCCUAGUGUAGAGGUGGAAUUCGUAGAUAUUAGGAAGAACACCAGUGGCGAAGGCGGCUCACUGGUCCGGUACUGACGCUGAGGAGCGAAAGAGUGGGGAGCAAACAAGAUUAGAUACCCCAGUAGUCA
RNAcentral lists this ribosomal RNA (425 nucleotides) under uncultured bacterium. Its description in RNAcentral is "partial 16S ribosomal RNA". It matches the Rfam family "Bacterial small subunit ribosomal RNA", at positions 354 to 796 of the family's 1533-position model. The record is from RNAcentral.